Molecule: ribosomal RNA, 253 nt
Filed under: uncultured bacterium
Lineage: Bacteria
Description: partial 16S ribosomal RNA
Rfam family: Bacterial small subunit ribosomal RNA
Source: RNAcentral
GACAGAGGGUGCAAACGUUGUUCGGAUUUACUGGGCGUAAAGCGCGUGUAGGCGGCUUUGCAAGUCGGAUGUGAAAUCCCACGGCUCAACCGUGGAAGUGCAUCCGAAACUGCAUCACUGGAGUCUCGGAGAGGAAGGUGGAAUGCUUGGUGUAGAGGUGAAAUUCGUAGAUAUCAAGCAGAACACCUGCGGCGAAGGCGGCCUUCUGGACGAUGACUGACGCUGAGACGCGAAAGCGUGGGGAGCAAACAGG